This 376-nucleotide unclassified non-coding RNA is filed under the name Hevea brasiliensis (rubber tree). The record is from RNAcentral. Lineage: Eukaryota; Viridiplantae; Streptophyta; Magnoliopsida; Malpighiales; Euphorbiaceae.
UGAAACGGCAAGAGAUGGAGGUGGAGGUGGUGGGGCCGCCGCUUGAGGUGGAGGUGGCUGUUGGUUGUUGGCUGUUUCCACCAUAUUUAUCGUUUAUUUAUUACUCUUCGCCUUCCCUGCUUAAGUAGAUAAACUAUGCAACUUCAAAUGCUCUCUCUUGUCUACACUACUCUUUAUCUACUGAAAAGCUAGAAACAAAUCACCGACCGAAACAAGAGAGAGAUAGACAGACCAAAACCAAGAGACUGAGAAAGAGAAAGAAAAUACAACAAAAAUAGAGCAAGAAAAGGAAAGAAGGGGAAGAGAGAGGAAAGCCUUCCGGAGAUGUUCCAAGAAACGAAAACAAAUAAAUGACCUGAGAGAGAGAGAGAGAGAG